CUCCAAGACGCUUGACCGCUCUUCCUUUCCUGGAUGGCACCAGCAGGGCCGAUUGGAGUGGUAAACCCUGGGCCGGAAGGCAUGCCAAAGGGUGGACAGGAUGGACAGGAGACAGUAGCACAACGAGGAGGGGGAGAACAGCGGCUGAAUUGGAAAUGAUAAAAUAAAAUGAAAUUUUAGGAGCUCGCUACGGAGUCUGG
This 200-nucleotide long non-coding RNA is filed under the name Homo sapiens (human). RNAcentral describes it as "HSALNT0330576". Lineage: Eukaryota; Metazoa; Chordata; Mammalia; Primates; Hominidae. The record is from RNAcentral.